AGCUAUGAACAUCAUGAAGACUGUGAAAGCGUAGUGCUCGGAUACGGAAGAAUCGAUGAAGGUUGGAAGGCAUCUCAACAGAUAGCUGUGGUACAUUCCCCCGUGCGGGCGGUACAGAUACUCCGCCAACAGCCGCUGGAGGAUGCGGCCUGCAGGGCAACCGCCGAGUAUGCACGGCA
Dermacentor andersoni is the source of this 179-nucleotide long non-coding RNA. RefSeq lists it as uncharacterized. NCBI's taxonomy places the organism in Eukaryota, Metazoa, Arthropoda, Arachnida, Ixodida, Ixodidae. The record is from RefSeq and is a predicted model, not a curated record.